CAUGGCUCAGAUUGAACGCUGGCGGCAGGCCUAACACAUGCAAGUCGAACGGUAACAGGAAGAAGCUUGCUUCUUUGCUGACGAGUGGCGGACGGGUGAGUAAUGUCUGGGAAACUGCCUGAUGGAGGGGGAUAACUACUGGAAACGGUAGCUAAUACCGCAUAACGUCGCAAGACCAAAGAGGGGGACCUUCGGGCCUCUUGCCAUCGGAUGUGCCCAGAUGGGAUUAGCUAGUAGGUGGGGUAACGGCUCACCUAGGCGACGAUCCCUAGCUGGUCUGAGAGGAUGACCAGCCACACUGGAACUGAGACACGGUCCAGACUCCUACGGGAGGCAGCAGUGGG
Molecule: ribosomal RNA, 344 nt
Filed under: Staphylococcus aureus
Lineage: Bacteria; Bacillati; Bacillota; Bacilli; Caryophanales; Staphylococcaceae
Description: bacterial SSU rRNA
Rfam family: Bacterial small subunit ribosomal RNA
Source: RNAcentral